This 1950-nucleotide ribosomal RNA is filed under the name human gut metagenome. RNAcentral describes it as "bacterial LSU rRNA". It matches the Rfam family "Bacterial large subunit ribosomal RNA", at positions 863 to 2841 of the family's 2925-position model. The record is from RNAcentral.
AAUAGCUUUAGGGCUAGCCUCGAUUUAGUCUUAUGGAGGUAGAGCACUGAAUUUCCGCGGGGGCGUCAAAGCUUACCAAAGAAUAUCAAACUCCGAAUGCCAUGUAGAUGAUGAUCGGGAGUCAGACUGCACGAGAUAAGUUGGGCAGUCAAAAGGGAAAGAGCCCAGACCUACAGCUAAGGUCCCAAAGUGCGUGUUAAGUGGAAAAGGAUGUGGGAUUUCGAAGACAACUAGGAUGUUGGCUCAGAAGCAGCCAUACAUUCAAAGAGUGCGUAACAGCUCACUAGUCGAGAGUUCCUGCGCCGAAAAUGUCCGGGGCUGAAACACGACACCGAAGCCGUGGACUCGCAAUGCGAGUGGUAGAGGAGCAUUCUUAAAACCGACGAAGCUGUACCGUAAGGAGCAGUGGAGGGAUAAGAAGAGAGAAUGCCGGAAUGAGUAGCGAGAGAAAGGUGGGAAUCCUUUCGGCCGAAUAUCUAAGGUUUCCAGAGUAAAGCUGAUCUGCUCUGGGUAAGUCGGGGCCUAAGCACAGGUCGCAAGACGUAAGCGAUGGAUAACAGGUUUAGAUUCCUGUACCACGCAUUAUCAGAACUGUAGGGACGCAUGUGGAAAGCACGAGCCGGGAAUGGAAAAACCGGUACAAGCGGGGUAGGUGUACAAUAGGCAAAUCCGUUGUAUAAUCCGAAGACGUGAUGUGGAGCGAAAUAAAGUAGCAAAGCGUGUGAGCCAUGUGCCGAGAAAAGCUGCUAUUGUGUAAUGCGUGCCCGUACCGUAAACCGACACAGGUGGAUGAGGAGAGAAUCCUAAGGCCGGCGGAAGAAGCAUUGUUAAGGAAUUCGGCAAAAUGACCCCGUAACUUCGGGAGAAGGGGUGCCUGCGAGAGCAGGCCGCAGAGAAUAGGCUCAAGCAACUGUUUAGCAAAAACACAGGUCUAUGCGAAACCGAAAGGUGAAGUAUAUGGGCUGACGCCUGCCCGGUGCUGGAAGGUUAAGAGGAGAGGUUAGCGCAAGCGAAGCUUUGAAUUUAAGCCCCAGUAAACGGCGGCCGUAACUAUAACGGUCCUAAGGUAGCGAAAUUCCUUGUCGGGUAAGUUCCGACCCGCACGAAAGGCGUAAUGAUUUGAGCACUGUCUCGACAAUGCAUCCGGUGAAAUUGAAGUACCAGUGAAGAUGCUGGUUACCCGCGCCAGGACGGAAAGACCCCAUGGAGCUUUACUCCAGUUUGAUACUGGGAUUCGGUACUGCAUGUACAGGAUAGGUGGGAGACGAAGAAGGAUGGACGCCAGUCUGUCCGGAGUCGCUGUUGGGAUACCACCCCUGUAGUACUGGGUUUCUAACCAGUUGCCAUGAACUGGCAAUGGGACAAUGUCAGGCGGGGAGUUUGACUGGGGCGGUCGCCUCCGAAAGGGUAUCGGAGGCGCUCAAAGGUUCCCUCAGAAUGGUUGGAAACCAUUCGAAGAGUGCAAAGGCAGAAGGGAGCUUGACUGCGACACCGACGGGUGGAGCAGGUACGAAAGUAGGACUUAGUGAUCCGGUGGUAUAAAGUGGGAUUGCCAUCGCUCAACGGAUAAAAGCUACCCUGGGGAUAACAGGCUUAUCACUCCCAAGAGUUCACAUCGACGGAGUGGUUUGGCACCUCGAUGUCGGCUCAUCGCAUCCUGGGGCUGUAGUAGGUCCCAAGGGUUGGGCUGUUCGCCCAUUAAAGCGGUACGCGAGCUGGGUUCAGAACGUCGUGAGACAGUUCGGUCCCUAUCCGGCGUGGGCGUAGGAUAUUUGAGAGGAGCUGUCCUUAGUACGAGAGGACCGGGAUGGACUGGCCGCUGGUGUAUCUGUUGUCUUACCAAAGGCAUAGCAGAGUAGCCAAGCCGGGAAGGGAUAAACGCUGAAGGCAUCUAAGCGUGAAGCCCCCCUCAAGAUGAGAUAUCCCUCCUUCGGGAGUAAGACCCCUUGA